CAUUAUGGAAGUUCUAGAGUGAGAACAUUAUGGAAGUUCUAGAGUGAGAACAUUAUGGAAGUUCUAGUGAGAACAUUAUGGAAGUUCUAGAGUGAGAACAUUAUGGAAGUUCUCGAGUGAGAACAAUAAGAUAAUUCUAGAAAUCCUCUCCAUAAUCAAUCAAUCAAAUGUAUUUAUAAAGCCCAUUUUACAUCUGUAGAUGUCAAAAGUGAUAUAUGUAGAAAAUCAGCCUCAAACAGCAAGCAAUGCAGAUGUAGAAGAACGAUGGCUUGGAAAAACUCCCUGUUGACUGGAGACCUGCACUAAUCCGACAGAUGUGAUGGUACACCAAUGUUCCCUCCUGAAAUACAGGUGAAUUACAGGCGUUUUAUAUUUGAGGAAUGUAAUCUCAGUAGAACUAUUCUCUCUCUCUUUGUAAAGGGGGGUCAUGUGAUCGAUUCACUAUGCCGUUUCCUCGUACGCCUCAGGCCUAUUGGCUGUGUCAGUGUCUCACAUUGCUCUGGUCUAGUUUGUCAACGGUUAGAGCUCUUGUGUUUUCCAGGAUAAGAUAUGCAAUUUGAACUGUUCACGCAGCGUUGUCGUCUAGGUAGACCGUAGAGGAGGGGACCACACCAGUUGUCGUCUAGGUAGACCGUAGAGGAGGGGACCACACCAGUUGUCGUCUAGGUAGACCGUAGAGGAGGGGACCACACCAGUUGUCGUCUAGGUAGACCGUAGAGGAGGGGACCACACCAGUUGUCGUCUAGGUAGACCGUAGAGGAGGGGACCACACCAGUUGUCGUCUAGGUAGACCGUAGAGGAGGGGACCACACCAGUGGCUGUUCCUGUAUGUACGUUUAAAAAUGUCAUAUGUUGGCACUAUUGUCGCAACGUAGUGGGCUGCACCCGCAGUAAUGUAUUUAGUUAUAGUUUACCCUGGUUUUGUUCUAUGAGCAGAUUCUGUCGUAGUUAAAUAUAUAAGUUGGUAAAUUGCUUGGAGUGUUUACACAGUGUUUAGAUGGUGAAAUAACACAUGCCAUUAGCAGACGCUUUUAUCCAAAGCGACUUACAGUCACGUGUGCAUACAUUCUACGUAUGGGUGGUCCCGGGGAUCGAACCCACUACCCUGGCGUUACAAGCGCCAUGCUCUACCAACUGAGCUACAGAAGGACCACAAAUAGCAGUGAAAUAGCAGUGGGUUAAGCCUGAUAUCCUGUGCCUUGCAUCUACGUUAACAUGAAUGUGUUGCUGCGGUGCUGAAGGCUGUUUGACGUGUUCAAGGCUGCUGCUUUAAAAACCAACAGUUCUUUGGCUGAAAUCUAACAGUUUUAACUGAACAGCCUGUUUUCCUUAUCUCCUCUCCUUAUCUCCUCUCCUUAUCUCUCUCCUUCUCUCUCUCCUUAUCUCCUCUCCUUCUCUCCUCUGGCCCAGUUUAUUUUACUUUCAGUGUCCACAAAGGAAUUGAGGAAGGAUUUUUUUUUUUUUUUUUUACAGUAUUGAGUCACAGCCGUGAGCAUUGAGUUCACCCCUUAUUUUGGAGUUGUGUCCAGGGGUGUGUUCAUUAGGAACCAAAUGGAACAAAAUGGGGAAGCGGCCUACCUGAAUUUGUCCAAUAGAAACUCUCGUUUUCGUUGCAAAAUAUUUUCGUUUAAGAGUAAUAAGCGUCUCGAAACGGAAACCGUUUACUCAAAAAUUGAAAAUGUUGUGUGACUAAUGAAUACACCCCAGUCUUCUAUUUGUGUAGUCACGUGUUCAGAAAGCGUUGGAUCGAGGUUGUGUCAUAACUUGGUAACAUGGAGUCAUGAUGAGGGAAUAGAACUACGGGGGACCAACGAUUCGUUACGUUUUUGUACUGGUCACAUCACUGUUGUUAGUGUGUCACAGAUUUUCUCUACCUCCGUCUUUCAGUGAAGGGGGUUUGUUUUAUCUGGCCCGGGUUACCCCGGUGGGAGGAGUUUGAGCUGGGUGAAAAGUGAUUGUAUUCAUUUUGGAAUCGGGCUGCCUCCUGGGUGUGCCCCACUCUGGUCGCCGGUGAAGGUGGCUCAAAACAAAAACGACGUAAUUAAACGUGUGGAAAAAUGGGUAGGAUUCUGUUUUCACAUGCUAAAGUGAUUGCUUUUGAUUAUUAUGAUUUUCACUUUCUGCCUUCUCAAUAAAAACUAGUUUGACUAUUCAAACAUUUUAUUUUAUGGAAAAUAUAUGUAUGUUUCGUGACGAUGCACCAUGCUGCCUUGUUGACAUGACCGAGUGGCUCGGAGUACUGUUUGAUUUGAGAAAGGCGCUCCUGCAUCCCCGCUAUUUCACCCGAUGACGUGAUGGGCCAUUGCCCGGGUUCAACCUGGGCCAGUGUAAUAGAAUUCCCUUCGUGUCAUAGGAGUCGUCCCUGGUGAAAAUGUAAAUAUGAAUCUAGUUAAGUGUUGGACAGAUAUAUAUAUAUAUAUGGAGUGCUUGUGGGCGCAAACAUGACAACAUGAUGUGACUUAAGUAUUUAUUGGUAGAAAUAGGCUUGAGUUACAGCUGGGCUUUAAUAAGCACAGUUGUGAUUGGUGGACUUUCCAUGUGAAAAAUAAGGAGUAUUUCUACUUGUACCUGAUGUAUUGGAAAAGCUCAAUGUGGUCUUUGGGGGAAAAUAGCUGUUUUCAAAAUGGCCGCCCAGCAAAUGAUUGUGGCCAUGGUCAUGAAACGUCAGGAAAGCCAUGAACGAAGAGAAAUUAUGAUGCCACUUAUUUUCUCCGAUAAACCUGUAGAUAGUUGCAGAUUUUGUUGAUUAUUUUGAAAGGUAAUUAUCGGUUGUUUCAGACAACCUUUUUUUUUUCUCUCUCCUUUCUCUUUAGAAAAUAAGUUUCGUUCUGGUUUGCUCAAAACCUGGCCUCUCUUCAAUGUGUUUUCUAUAGACAUUUUUUUUUCUCCAAACAAUAGAAUGAUAUAAUUAGAUAUUUAUUUACAGUCUCAAAAGAACAAGGAAAAUUUAUGAAGGUAUUUUUACUUGAAUAAUGACACACUGUAUUGCUAUUUUAAGAUACACAUGUAUUUAUAUUUAUACUUAAGAUAACAUGGUAUUGGAUUUUCCUUAUGCUUUGGCCUAUACGUUACUUGCAAUAUUUAUGUCAUUGACGAUAAUGUCCCAGUAUCUCAGCUUUUGUAGUUAAUUCCAAUAUGAUGCUUUACGUAACAAACAUUCAAUAAAGUCUGGAUUAUA
Molecule: long non-coding RNA, 3178 nt
Organism: Oncorhynchus gorbuscha (pink salmon)
Lineage: Eukaryota; Metazoa; Chordata; Actinopteri; Salmoniformes; Salmonidae
Exons: 2
Source: RefSeq, a predicted model, not a curated record